GGAUUAGUGGCGAACGGGUGAGUAACACGUGAGUAACCUGCCCUCCACUUUGGGAUAACUCCGAGAAAUCGGGGCUAAUACUGGAUAUGACCUUGGCCCGCAUGGGUUGUGGUGGAAAGUUUUUCGGUGGGGGAUGGGCUCGCGGCCUAUCAGUUUGUUGGUGAGGUAGUGGCUCACCAAGGCGAUGACGGGUAGCCGGCCUGAGAGGGCGACCGGCCACACUGGGACUGAGACACGGCCCAG
This 243-nucleotide ribosomal RNA is filed under the name uncultured Actinomycetales bacterium. RNAcentral's name for it is "partial 16S ribosomal RNA". It matches the Rfam family "Bacterial small subunit ribosomal RNA", at positions 89 to 334 of the family's 1533-position model. Lineage: Bacteria; Bacillati; Actinomycetota; Actinomycetes; Actinomycetales. The record is from RNAcentral.